RNAcentral lists this ribosomal RNA (1347 nucleotides) under uncultured bacterium. RNAcentral's name for it is "partial 16S ribosomal RNA". It matches the Rfam family "Bacterial small subunit ribosomal RNA", at positions 26 to 1381 of the family's 1533-position model. The record is from RNAcentral.
UGACGAACGCUGGCGGCGUGCUUAACACAUGCAAGUCGAACGGAAAGGCCCUGCUUUUGUGGGGUGCUCGAGUGGCGAACGGGUGAGUAACACGUGAGUAACCUGCCCUUGACUUUGGGAUAACUUCAGGAAACUGGGGCUAAUACCGGAUAGGAGCUCCUGCUGCAUGGUGGGGGUUGGAAAGUUUCGGCGGUUGGGGAUGGACUCGCGGCUUAUCAGCUUGUUGGUGGGGUAGUGGCUUACCAAGGCUUUGACGGGUAGCCGGCCUGAGAGGGUGACCGGCCACAUUGGGACUGAGAUACGGCCCAGACUCCUACGGGAGGCAGCAGUGGGGAAUAUUGCACAAUGGGCGGAAGCCUGAUGCAGCAACGCCGCGUGCGGGAUGACGGCCUUCGGGUUGUAAACCGCUUUCGCCUGUGACGAAGCGUGAGUGACGGUAAUGGGUAAAGAAGCACCGGCUAACUACGUGCCAGCAGCCGCGGUGAUACGUAGGGUGCGAGCGUUGUCCGGAUUUAUUGGGCGUAAAGGGCUCGUAGGUGGUUGAUCGCGUCGGAAGUGUAAUCUUGGGGCUUAACCCUGAGCGUGCUUUCGAUACGGGUUGACUUGAGGAAGGUAGGGGAGAAUGGAAUUCCUGGUGGAGCGGUGGAAUGCGCAGAUAUCAGGAGGAACACCAGUGGCGAAGGCGGUUCUCUGGGCCUUUCCUGACGCUGAGGAGCGAAAGCGUGGGGAGCGAACAGGCUUAGAUACCCUGGUAGUCCACGCUGUAAACGGUGGGUACUAGGUGUGGGGUCCAUUCCACGGGUUCCGUGCCGUAGCUAACGCUUUAAGUACCCCGCCUGGGGAGUACGGCCGCAAGGCUAAAACUCAAAGGAAUUGACGGGGCCCCGCACAAGCGGCGGAGCAUGCGGAUUAAUUCGAUGCAACGCGUAGAACCUUACCUGGGUUUGACAUGGAUCGGGAGUGCUCAGAGAUGGGUGUGCCUCUUUUGGGGUCGGUUCACAGGUGGUGCAUGCCUGUCGUCAGCUCGUGUCGUGAGAUGUUGGGUUAAGUCCCGCAACGAGCGCAACCCUUGUUCACUGUUGCCAGCACGUUAUGGUGGGGACUCAGUGGAGACCGCCGGGGUCAACUCGGAGGAAGGUGGGGAUGACGUCAAGUCAUCAUGCCCCUUAUGUCCAGGGCUUCACGCAUGCUACAAUGGCUGGUACAGAGAGUGGCGAGCCUGUGAGGGUGAGCGAAUCUCGGAAAGCCGGUCUCAGUUCGGAUUGGGGUCUGCAAUUCGACCUCAUGAAGUCGGAGUCGCUAGUAAUCGCAGAUCAGCAACGCUGCGGUGAAAACGUUCCCGGGGCU